GACGAACGCUGGCGGCGUGCUUAACACAUGCAAGUCGAACGGAAAGGCCCUGCUUUUGUGGGGUGCUCGAGUGGCGAACGGGUGAGUAACACGUGAGUAACCUGCCCUUGACUUUGGGAUAACUUCAGGAAACUGGGGCUAAUACCGGAUAGGAGCUCCUGCUGCAUGGUGGGGGUUGGAAAGUUUCGGCGGUUGGGGAUGGACUCGCGGCUUAUCAGCUUGUUGGUGGGGUAGUGGCUUACCAAGGCUUUGACGGGUAGCCGGCCUGAGAGGGUGACCGGCCACAUUGGGACUGAGAUACGGCCCAGACGCCUACGGGAGGCAGCAGUGGGGAAUAUUGCACAAUGGGCGGAAGCCUGAUGCAGCAACGCCGCGUGCGGGAUGACGGCCUUCGGGUUGUAAACCGCUUUCGCCUGUGACGAAGCGUGAGUGACGGUAAUGGGUAAAGAAGCACCGGAUAACUACGU
This 467-nucleotide ribosomal RNA is filed under the name uncultured bacterium. Its description in RNAcentral is "partial 16S ribosomal RNA". It matches the Rfam family "Bacterial small subunit ribosomal RNA", at positions 28 to 506 of the family's 1533-position model. The record is from RNAcentral.